Molecule: ribosomal RNA, 339 nt
Filed under: Triticum aestivum (bread wheat)
Lineage: Eukaryota; Viridiplantae; Streptophyta; Magnoliopsida; Poales; Poaceae
Description: partial small subunit ribosomal RNA
Source: RNAcentral
AUGAGGUUCGUCGCCGCGUACCUGCUCGCCACCCUGGGCGGCAACUCGAGCCCGACCAAGGACGACGUCCGAGCCAUCCUCGGCUCCGUGGGCGCCGAGGUGGAGGAGGGCAAGCUCGACGCCCUCUUCAAGGAGGUGGAGGGCAAGGACCUGGCCGAGCUCCUCGCCGCCGGCAGGGAGAAGUUCGCCUUUGCGCCCAGUGGCGGCGCCGGGGCGGCCAUGGGCGCGUCCCCCGUCGCCGCCGGUGACGCUGCCGAGGAGAAGAAGGAGAAGGCCCAGGAGAAGAAGGAAGAGGAGGAGGAGGAGGAGGACCUCGACAUGUUCAGCCUCUUCGACUGA